Balearica regulorum gibbericeps (East African grey crowned-crane) is the source of this 534-nucleotide non-coding RNA. The record is from RefSeq and is a predicted model, not a curated record. NCBI's taxonomy places the organism in Eukaryota, Metazoa, Chordata, Aves, Gruiformes, Gruidae.
AUGUCUUACAUUUGGGGUUUUUUGGGGGUUUUUUUAGGUGGUUUUGGUGUAGCAAAGAACCUGUGUUCCUGGGCUGUAGAUGGCAAGAACUGCACUGUCAACGAGCACGUGAACUCCACACUCCAAGCUUUCCACAGUGCUAAAAAGCCUAUUGGUUUGUGCUGUAUAUCACCAGUCCUGGCAGCUAAAGUCUUUCCUGGUUGUGAGGUCACAGUCGGCCAAGAUAAAAACGUAGAUGGAAGAUUUCCUGAUGCUGAAACUGCAUCUGCUAUAGCAGAGCUUGGAUGUAAGCACAUUUGCAAAAAUGUAAAUGAAUCCCAUGUGGACAAAGCCAAUAAAAUAGUUACUACCUGUGCUUUCAUGUGCAAGGCUCCUCUGCAUGAAAUCUUUGAUGGAAUUGGAACAAUGGUACAAGAAGUCCUGAAACUUGCCUGACUGGAAGCUUACAGGCUUCUGCAAGGAAAUCAGUUUAGCUAAGCAUAAGCAUGUAGCUUCAUUUGAUUGUGUUAAUAAAAUAACGCAACUAUUAAACUU